GCUGGGUUGGGUGGCGCCAACUUGUAACGGGUAUGCUUCUGCUCGGGUAGUAAGGUGUGAGGGUUGUGGCAUGCGUUGUGUUGUCACUAUCCCCAGGAUGUGGAAGGCGCGUCCAUCUCAAACCAGGAGUCGACAUUGGGACAUUGUCGUAAGACACUGUACCGAGGUCACUAAGGAAUGGUGAACUGCCCCAGGCUGGAUAACAGAGCAGGGAAAAGCCCUCGCUCUUGGUAGUGGGAGGAUCUCGUGCCAGAAUUCUGACGUGCUAACGCAUCGCUGCAAGCCGCAAUUCGAUCACCUUGCGAU
Non-coding RNA from Phytophthora ramorum (sudden oak death agent), 306 nucleotides. NCBI's taxonomy places the organism in Eukaryota, Oomycota, Peronosporomycetes, Peronosporales, Peronosporaceae. The record is from Rfam.